This 470-nucleotide ribosomal RNA is filed under the name uncultured Acinetobacter sp. RNAcentral's name for it is "bacterial SSU rRNA". It matches the Rfam family "Bacterial small subunit ribosomal RNA", at positions 337 to 798 of the family's 1533-position model. The record is from RNAcentral. Lineage: Bacteria; Pseudomonadati; Pseudomonadota; Gammaproteobacteria; Moraxellales; Moraxellaceae.
GCCUACGGGAGGCUGCAGUGGGGAAUAUUGGACAAUGGGGGGAACCCUGAUCCAGCCAUGCCGCGUGUGUGAAGAAGGCCUUUUGGUUGUAAAGCACUUUAAGCGAGGAGGAGGCUUACCUGGUUAAUACCUGGGAUAAGUGGACGUUACUCGCAGAAUAAGCACCGGCUAACUCUGUGCCAGCAGCCGCGGUAAUACAGAGGGUGCGAGCGUUAAUCGGAUUUACUGGGCGUAAAGCGUGCGUAGGCGGGUUUUUAAGUCGGAUGUGAAAUCCCCGAGCUUAACUUGGGAAUUGCAUUCGAUACUGGGAAGCUAGAGUAUGGGAGAGGAUGGUAGAAUUCCAGGUGUAGCGGUGAAAUGCGUAGAGAUCUGGAGGAAUACCGAUGGCGAAGGCAGCCAUCUGGCCUAAUACUGACGCUGAGGUACGAAAGCAUGGGGAGCAAACAGGAUUAGAUACCCCGGUAGUCAGU